This 337-nucleotide unclassified non-coding RNA is filed under the name soil metagenome. RNAcentral describes it as "partial contains 5.8S ribosomal RNA, internal transcribed spacer 2, and large subunit ribosomal RNA". The stretch from base 1 to 120 matches the Rfam family "5.8S ribosomal RNA", at positions 35 to 154 of the family's 154-position model. The record is from RNAcentral.
GAUGAAGAACGCAGCGAAAUGCGAUAAGUAGUGUGAAUUGCAGAAUUCAGUGAAUCAUCGAAUCUUUGAACGCACAUUGCGCCCCUUGGUAUUCCAUGGGGCAUGCCUGUUCGAGCGUCAUUUGUACCUUCAAGCUCUGCUUGGUGUUGGGUGUUUGUCUCGCCUCUGAGUGUAGACUCGCCUUAAAACAAUUGGCAGCCGGCGUAUUGAUUUCGGAGCGCAGUACAUCUCGCGCUUUGCACUCAUAACGACGACGUCCAAAAGUACAUUUUUACACUCUUGACCUCGGAUCAGGUAGGGAUACCCGCUGAACUUAAGCAUAUCAAUAAGCGGAGGA